GAAAUGCGAUAAGUAAUGUGAAUUGCAGAAUUCAGUGAAUCAUCGAAUCUUUGAACGCAUCUUGCGCUCCUUGGUAUUCCUUGGAGCAUGCCUGUUUGAGUAUCAUGAAAUCUUCAAAGUAAAUCUUUUGUUAACUCAAUUGGUUUCUACUUUGGUAUUGGAGGUCUUUGCAGCUUCACACCUGCUCCUCUUUGUUCAUUAGCUGGAUCUCAGUGUUAUGCUUGGUUCCACUCGGCGUGAUAAGUUAUCUAUCGCUGAGGACACUGUAAAAGGUGGCCAAGGUAAAUGCAGAUGAACCGCUUCUAAUAGUCCAUUGACUUGGACAAUACUUUUAUGAUCCGAUCUCAAAUCAGGUAGGACUACCCGCUGAACUUAAGC
RNAcentral lists this unclassified non-coding RNA (378 nucleotides) under plant metagenome. Its description in RNAcentral is "partial contains 5.8S ribosomal RNA, internal transcribed spacer 2, and large subunit ribosomal RNA". The stretch from base 1 to 105 matches the Rfam family "5.8S ribosomal RNA", at positions 50 to 154 of the family's 154-position model. The record is from RNAcentral.